GAUGAACGCUGGCGGCGUGCCUAAUACAUGCAAGUCGAGCGAACAGACGCUGAUCUUGCUCCUCUGUCGUUAGCGGCGGACGUGUGUGUAACACGUGUAUAACCUCCCUAUAAUACUGGUAUAACUUCGAGACACCGGCUCUAAUCCCGUAUAAUCUCUUGCUCCGCAUUGUUCAAUGGUGAAUUACGGUUUUUCUGUCUCUUCUCGCUGGUUCCGCGCCGCUUUGGCUAGUUGUUAAGUUCACGGCUUUCCAAGGCAACGAUGCGUAGACGACCUGAGAGGGGGAUAGGCCACACUAGAAGGGAGACAGGGACAAGACUACUAAGAGAGGCAGCAGUAGGGAAUGGUACGCAAUGGGCGAAAGCAUGACGGAGCAACGCCGCGUGAGUGAUGAAAGUCUUCGGAGCGUAAAAAUCGGUUAUGAGGGAAGAACAAAUGUGUAAGGAAAUAUGGACGUAGUGACGGUAAUUAGUCAGAAAGCAACGGCUAACUACGUG
Molecule: ribosomal RNA, 497 nt
Filed under: uncultured bacterium
Lineage: Bacteria
Description: partial 16S ribosomal RNA
Rfam family: Bacterial small subunit ribosomal RNA
Source: RNAcentral